RNAcentral lists this ribosomal RNA (388 nucleotides) under uncultured bacterium. RNAcentral describes it as "bacterial SSU rRNA". It matches the Rfam family "Bacterial small subunit ribosomal RNA", at positions 28 to 417 of the family's 1533-position model. The record is from RNAcentral.
GACGAACGCUGGCGGCGUGCUUAACACAUGCAAGUCGAGCGGUAAGGCCCUUUCGGGGGUACACGAGCGGCGAACGGGUGAGUAACACGUGGGUGACCUGCCCUCAGCUCUGGGAUAAGCCUGGGAAACCGGGUCUAAUACUGGAUAUGACUCCAUGACGCAUGUUGUGGGGUGGAAAGCCUUGUGCGGCUGAGGAUGGGCCCGCGGCCUAUCAGCUUGUUGGUGGGGUGAGGCCUACCAAGGCGACGACGGGUAGCCGGCCUGAGAGGGCGACCGGCCACACUGGGACUGAGACACGGCCCAGACUCCUACGGGAGGCAGCAGUGGGGAAUCUUGCGCAAUGGGACGAAAGCCUGACGCAGCGACGCCGCGUGAGGGAUGACGGCCU